Molecule: long non-coding RNA, 650 nt
Organism: Papaver somniferum (opium poppy)
Lineage: Eukaryota; Viridiplantae; Streptophyta; Magnoliopsida; Ranunculales; Papaveraceae
Exons: 2
Source: RefSeq, a predicted model, not a curated record
CCUCUCAGUUUUUCUUCCCCUUUUCUACAGCAAAAAGAGAUCUUAGUUACCGUCAAUAAUUGAUUUAUACUAAGAAGCUUUAAAUAUGAAAUUAAUCCUCGUUUUUCACAGAAUUGCUGGUGCACGAUGGUUUCUUUGGUGAAGAACAGUGGAAGAAAAAGAGAGAACGAUAAACCCACUCACUAAAAAUCUCGGUCGAAGACUAGUGGUGCACGAUGACAGGCAUUCCCUAUAUUAUGAAGUUACGAAAACUGUGUUACAUUCGAUUAUUUAAAGCUUUUUAUAGUUAAAGAAUCCAGUGAUAUCAUCGAUCUGCGACUAUUAAUUUUCUUUUGGUACAGAACAGUGGAAGAAAAGGAAAGCACGAGAGAGAAGAAAAAAUGGGAAAGAUGAAACUAAACUAUUCAAUCGGGUCAUGGACCACUUAAUAAAACCCGCGUGUUUUUGCUUAAAAUCUCAGCCGUCGAAAAUUGUAAGAUCCAUUGGUUGUAUGAGUUUGUGACAAAGUCUGUGAGACAAACUAUUACUCUAACUCUAUAAGGUUUGAGUUAAGUGAGUUAUAUCAUGACACCGAUGCUUUUGUAAAACACUAUACUCGACAUGCACUAUGUCUGCCAGAGUAAUCCUUUAAUUAAAAUCGUUUCUUUCAA